This 165-nucleotide small nuclear RNA is filed under the name Meriones unguiculatus (Mongolian gerbil). Its description in RNAcentral is "U1 spliceosomal RNA (ENSMUGG00000003684.1)". It matches the Rfam family "U1 spliceosomal RNA". Rfam says of the family: U1 is a small nuclear RNA (snRNA) component of the spliceosome (involved in pre-mRNA splicing). Its 5' end forms complementary base pairs with the 5' splice junction, thus defining the 5' donor site of an intron. The record is from RNAcentral. Lineage: Eukaryota; Metazoa; Chordata; Mammalia; Rodentia; Muridae.
AUACUUACUUGGCAGGGGAGAUACCAUGAUCACGAAGGUGGUUCUCCCAGGGCGAGGCUUCCCCCAUUGCACGCCGGGGGGUGCUGACUCCUGCGAUUUCCCCAAAUGCGGGAAACUCGACUGCGGAAUUUCUGGUAGUGGGGGACUGCUGUGGGCUUCCCCCGG